AUCCCGAACUCAGCAGUGAAACGAUGCAUCGCCGAUGGUAGUGUGGGGUUUCCCCAUGUGAGAGUAGGUCAUCGUCAAGA
Molecule: ribosomal RNA, 80 nt
Filed under: Pseudomonas viridiflava
Lineage: Bacteria; Pseudomonadati; Pseudomonadota; Gammaproteobacteria; Pseudomonadales; Pseudomonadaceae
Also listed under: 11 other names
Source: RNAcentral